AGAGAAGAUACCUCUGCAAUACGAAAAGACGGAAUAUAUACAGAGUAAGGAGAAAGUUAUAAAAUCUAAUACACGCGACGACCAUUACCUAGAGACGGAGUUUACAGUUAUGGACACAGAUGAAGACGGAUUUCUGUCAAUACGACAGUUCACUAACCUUCUUCUGGCUCUGGGUUUCGGAGGAGACCAAGGGCAAACUGAGCUGCUUCUGAAGAAAAUGAAUAAAGGAGGAAAAGACAAGAUAUCCAAGAGCGAAUAUGCUGAAGCCUUAAAGACGACGAUGACGUCAUGAUAAGUACCAGCCGAUGGCGAGUGAUUUAUGAGAAUUUUGACGACGCCAAUGAAGGAAAGGUCGCUAAUUCUAAAAUUGAAAACAGACUACGAAUUAUGGGAUUUCAAAAUAUGAAAAAUAAAAUACAGGAGAUUGACGAAAACAAGGAUGGAUAUAUAACAUACGAGGAGCUCUUUAGAAAACAUCUAAAGGAUCAUGGAUUGAUCACCUGAAGGCCAGA
Long non-coding RNA from Mizuhopecten yessoensis (Yesso scallop), 512 nucleotides. RefSeq lists it as uncharacterized. Lineage: Eukaryota; Metazoa; Mollusca; Bivalvia; Pectinida; Pectinidae. The transcript has 4 exons. The record is from RefSeq and is a predicted model, not a curated record.